This 397-nucleotide ribosomal RNA is filed under the name uncultured bacterium. RNAcentral describes it as "partial 16S ribosomal RNA". It matches the Rfam family "Bacterial small subunit ribosomal RNA", at positions 523 to 918 of the family's 1533-position model. The record is from RNAcentral.
AUACGUAGGUGACAAGCGUUAUCCGGAUUUACUGGGCGUAAAGGGCGUGUAGGCGGUCUUGCAAGUCAGAAGUGAAAUUCCCGAGCUCAACUCGGGCGCUGCUUCUGAAACUGCAGGACUUGAGUGCUGGAGGGGAUAGCGGAAUUCCUAGUGGAGCGGUAAAAUGCGCAGAUAUUAGGAAGAACACCGGUGGCGAAGGUGGCUAUCUGGUCAGUAACUGACGCUGAGGCGCGAAAGCGUGGGGAGCAAACAGGAUGAGAUACCCUGUUAGUCCACGCCGUAAACGAUGAAUACUAGGUGUAGUGGGUAUCGACUCCCUCUGUGCCGCAGUUAACACAAUAAGUAUUCCGCCUGGGGAGUACGGCCGCAAGGUUGAAACUCAAAGGAAUUGACGGGG